UGGCGGGCGUAAUAUUUGCGACAAUGGGGGAAACCCUGAUCCAGCGACGCCGCGUGGGUGAAGAAGGCCUGCGGGUUGUAAAGCCCUUUCGGUAGGGACGAAAGCUCUCGACCUAACACGUCGGGAGGUUGACUUAUCCUUGCCAAGAAGCCCCGGCUAAAUCUGUGCCCGCAGCCGCGGUAA
This 183-nucleotide ribosomal RNA is filed under the name uncultured bacterium. RNAcentral describes it as "partial 16S ribosomal RNA". It matches the Rfam family "Bacterial small subunit ribosomal RNA", at positions 349 to 523 of the family's 1533-position model. The record is from RNAcentral.